RNAcentral lists this ribosomal RNA (713 nucleotides) under uncultured Prevotella sp. Its description in RNAcentral is "bacterial SSU rRNA". It matches the Rfam family "Bacterial small subunit ribosomal RNA", at positions 756 to 1479 of the family's 1533-position model. The record is from RNAcentral. Lineage: Bacteria; Pseudomonadati; Bacteroidota; Bacteroidia; Bacteroidales; Prevotellaceae.
AAAGUGCGGGUAUCAAACAGGAUUAGAUACCUUGGUAGUCCGCACGGUAAACGAUGGAAUGCCCGUUCUGCGGCCUUCGGGCCGCGGGACCAAGCGAAAGCAUUAAAGCAUCCCACCUGGGGAGUACGCCGGCAACGGUGAAACUCAAAGGAAUUGACGGGGGCCCGCACAAGCGGAGGAACAUGUGGUUUAAUUCGAUGAUACGCGAGGAACCUUACCCGGGCUUGAAUUGCAGACUAAUGCGGCGGAGACGCCGCAGUCCUUCGGGAAGUCUGUGAAGGUGCUGCAUGGUUGUCGUCAGCUCGUGCCGUGAGGUGUCGGCUCAAGUGCCAUAACGAGCGCAACCCCUGUCUCCUGUUGCCAUCAGGUAAAGCUGGGCACACUGGAGAGACUGCCGCCGUAAGGUGCGAGGAAGGUGGGGAUGACGUCAAAUCAGCACGGCCCUUACGUCCGGGGCUACACACGUGUUACAAUGGCCGGUACAGAAGGAUGGUGCCCCGCAAGGUGCAUCGAACCUGAAAAACCGGUCCCAGUUCGGACUGGGGUCUGCAACCCGACCCCACGAAGCUGGAUUCGCUAGUAAUCGCGCAUCAGCCAUGACGCGGUGAAUACGUUCCCGGGCCUUGUACACACCGCCCGUCAAGCCAUGAAAGCCGGGAGUGCCUGAAGUCCGUGACCGCGAGGAUCGGCCUAGGGCAAAAUCGGUAAUUGGG